AAGAGCUUAAGUUAGUGGUAGACUAUCUAUCUCCGAAGUAGAUUGCGUUGGUUCGAUUCCAACAGCUCUUGCCA
RNAcentral lists this transfer RNA (74 nucleotides) under Bacilli bacterium. RNAcentral's name for it is "tRNA-Arg". It matches the Rfam family "tRNA". Rfam says of the family: Transfer RNA (tRNA) molecules are approximately 80 nucleotides in length. Their secondary structure includes four short double-helical elements and three loops (D, anti-codon, and T loops). RNAcentral also lists the same sequence under 1 other name. The record is from RNAcentral. Lineage: Bacteria; Bacillati; Bacillota; Bacilli.